Molecule: ribosomal RNA, 292 nt
Filed under: uncultured bacterium
Lineage: Bacteria
Description: partial 16S ribosomal RNA
Rfam family: Bacterial small subunit ribosomal RNA
Source: RNAcentral
GUGUCAGCCGCCGCGGUAAGACAGAGGUGCCAAGCGUUAGGCGGAAUCACUGGGCUUAAAGCGUGUGUAGGUGGAUUUGUAAGUACCUUGUGAAAUCCCAUGGCUCAACCAUGGAACUGCUCGGUAUACUGCGAAUCUUGAGCCACUUAGGGGCUACCGGAACAAAUGGUGGAGCGGUGAAAUGCGUAGAUAUCAUUUGGAACGCCAAUGGUGAAAACAGGUAGCUGGGAGUGUGCUGACACUGAGACACGAAAGCCAGGGGAGCGAACGGGAUUAGAUACCCGCGUAGUCC